CGGAGGGACCAAGCGUUAUCCGGAAUCAUUGGGUUUAAAGGGUCCGUAGGCGGUUUUGUAAGUCAGUGGUGAAAGCCCAUCGCUCAACGGUGGAACGGCCAUUGAUACUGCAAGACUUGAAUUAUUAGGAAGUAACUAGAAUAUGUAGUGUAGCGGUGAAAUGCUUAGAUAUUACAUGGAAUACCAAUUGCGAAGGCAGGUUACUACUAAUGGAUUGACGCUGAUGGACGAAAGCGUGGGGAGCGAACAGGAUUAGAUACCCUGGUAGUCCACGCCGUAAACGAUGGAUACUAGCUGUUCGGAGCAAUCUGAGUGGCUAGGCGAAAGUGAUAAGUAUCCCACCUGGGGAGUACGCUCGCAAGAGUG
Molecule: ribosomal RNA, 366 nt
Filed under: uncultured organism
Description: bacterial SSU rRNA
Rfam family: Bacterial small subunit ribosomal RNA
Source: RNAcentral